GCCAUGCCGCGUGUGUGAAGAAGGCCUUUUGGUUGUAAAGCACUUUAAGCAGUGAAGAAGACCUAACGGUUAAUACCCGUUAGCGAUGACAUUAGCUGCAGAAUAAGCACCGGCUAACUCUGUGCCAGCAGCCGCGGUAAUACAGAGGGUGCAAGCGUUAAUCGGAAUUACUGGGCGUAAAGCGAGCGUAGGUGGCUUGAUAAGUCAGAUGUGAAAUCCCCGGGCUUAACCUGGGAACUGCAUCUGAUACUGUUAGGCUAGAAUAGGUGAGAGGAAGGUAGAAUUCCAGGUGUAGCGGUGAAAUGCGUAGAGAUCUGGAGGAAUACCGAUGGCGAAGGCAGCCUUCUGGCAUCAUAUUGACACUGAGGUUCGAAAGCGUGGGUAGCAAACAGGAUUAGAUACCCUGGUAGUCCACGCCGUAAACGAUGUCUACUAGUCGUUGGGUCCCUUGAGGACUUAGUGACGCAGCUAACGCAAUAAGUAGACCGCCUGGGGAGUACGGCCGCAAGGUUAAAACUCAAAUGAAUUGACGGGGGCCCGCACAAGCGGUGGAGCAUGUGGUUUAAUUCGAUGCAACGCGAAGAACCUUACCUGGUCUUGACAUAUCUAGAAUCUUGUAGAGAUACGAGAGUGCCUUCGGGAAUUAGAAUACAGGUGCUGCAUGGCUGUCGUCAGCUCGUGUCGUGAGAUGUUGGGUUAAGUCCCGCAACGAGCGCAACCCUUGUCCUUAGUUACCAGCGGGUUAAGCCGGGAACUCUAAGGAUACUGCCAGUGACAAACUGGAGGAAGGCGGGGACGACGUCAAGUCAU
This 810-nucleotide ribosomal RNA is filed under the name Psychrobacter sp. DJWH35. RNAcentral describes it as "bacterial SSU rRNA". It matches the Rfam family "Bacterial small subunit ribosomal RNA", at positions 391 to 1193 of the family's 1533-position model. The record is from RNAcentral. Lineage: Bacteria; Pseudomonadati; Pseudomonadota; Gammaproteobacteria; Moraxellales; Moraxellaceae.